ACGACAAUGGAAUGGAAGGCUUCGGAAAGAUAAAUUUGCGCAUCAACUUAUAAGCUGAUUGUAGUCGUAUCUUAUGGUAUCUCCCCGUCAGCAACGCCAGAUAGUUAGAGGAGCCAACUACAUUGUAGUGAUAUCUUAUGGUGUGGGAGUGGCAUUUGAUAGUAUCUCCCCGUCAGCAACUCCAGAUUGUUAGAGGAGACAACUACAUCUUAGUGGUAUCUUAUGGUAUCUCCCCGUCAGCAACACCAGAUAGUUAAAAGAGCCAACUACAUUGUAGUCGUAUCUU
This 286-nucleotide long non-coding RNA is filed under the name Linum usitatissimum (flax). Its description in RNAcentral is "long non-coding RNA (LUSI_LNC007999)". The record is from RNAcentral. Lineage: Eukaryota; Viridiplantae; Streptophyta; Magnoliopsida; Malpighiales; Linaceae.